AUACGACCGUACCGCAAACCGACACUGUUGCGCGAGAUGAGUAUUCUAUGCGCUUGAGAGAACUCAGGAGAAGGAACUCGGCAAAUUGACACCGUAACUUCGGAAGAAGGUGUGCCCUAUUAGUGUGUAGUGAACAACGAAGCAUGAAUGGGUUGCAAAAAAUCGGUGGCUGCGACUGUUUAUUAAAAACACAGCACUCUGCAAACACGAAAGUGGACGUAUAGGGUGUGACGCCUGCCCGGUGCUGGAAGAUUAAAUGAUGGGGUGCAAGCUCUUGAUUGAAGUCCCAGUAAACGGCGGCCGUAACGAUAACGGUCCUAAGGUAGCGAAAUUCCUUGUCGGGUAAGUUCCGACCUGCACGAAUGGCGUAACGAUGGCCACACUGUCUCCUCCUGAGACUCAGCGAAGUUGAAAUGUUUGUGAUGAUGCAAUCUCCCCGCGGAAAGACGGAAAGACCCCAUGAACCUUUACUGUAGCUUUGUAUUGGACUUUGAACAGAUCUGUUAGGAUAGGUGGGAGGCUUUGAAGCAGGGUCGCUAGAUCUUGUGGAGCCAACGUUGAAAUACCACCCUGGUGUGUUUGAGGUUCUAACCUAGGUCCAUUAUCUGGAUCGGGGACAGUGCAUGGUAGGCAGUUUGACUGGGGCGGUCUCCUCCCAAAGCGUAACGGAGGAGUUCGAAGGUACGCUAGUUACGGUCGGACAUCGUGACGAUAGUGCAAUGGCAUAAGCGUGCUUAACUGCGAGACUGACAAGUCGAGCAGAUGCGAAAGCAGGACAUAGUGAUCCGGUGGUUCUGUAUGGAAGGGCCAUCGCUCAACGGAUAAAAGGUACUCUGGGGAUAACAGGCUGAUACCGCCCAAGAGUUCAUAUCGACGGCGGUGUUUGCACCUCGAUGUCGGCUCAUCUCAUCCUGGGGCUGUAGCCGGUCCCAAGGGUAUGGCUGUUCGCCAUUUAAAGAGGUACGUGAGCUGGGUUUAAAACGUCGUGAGACAGUUUGGUCCCUAUCUUCCGUGGGCGCUGCAGAUUUGAGGAAGCCUGCUCCUAGUACGAGAGGACCGGAGUGGACACACCUCUGGUGUAUCGGUUGUCACGCCAGUGGCAUUGCCGAGUAGCUAAGUGUGGAUGAGAUAACCGCUGAAAGCAUCUAAGCGGGAAACUCGUUUCAAGAUGAGAUCUGCCGGGGCCUUGAGCCCCCUAAAGAGUCGUUCAAGACCAGGACGUUGAUAGGUCAGGUGUGGAAGCG
This 1244-nucleotide ribosomal RNA is filed under the name metagenome. RNAcentral describes it as "bacterial LSU rRNA". It matches the Rfam family "Bacterial large subunit ribosomal RNA", at positions 1636 to 2875 of the family's 2925-position model. The record is from RNAcentral.